Molecule: long non-coding RNA, 903 nt
Organism: Catharus ustulatus (Swainson's thrush)
Lineage: Eukaryota; Metazoa; Chordata; Aves; Passeriformes; Turdidae
Exons: 4
Source: RefSeq, a predicted model, not a curated record
UUACUCCCCUUAUGAAUGACCAGGUACCAGACAAGCCAAGGAAGUUUCCUUACACAGAUGAAGCAUAACUGAGAAAGUGGCAACAUCCUUUUACCAGGCUCAUGUUCUCUGCUCAGUCCGUAUGGCAAUUUUGGCCCAUGGUGAAACCACAGCAGGAGAAGCAUGAACAGCAAAUGUCACCCAUGCAGGAGACACGUGGGGCAACCUAAUCCAAAAAUGGAUUAGCCUCAGUGGCUGUACUCUACAGUGCUGAGUAAAUACACCACCCUCUCCUCUGGCCAGGUCCCAAACAAGGAAUCAUCAGUACCUUCUGUGCGUUGCCUUCACAAAGGAACUAGCAAGCUGAGUCAUCAGGAUAGAUAACAUACAAAAUCUGCUAACUCUGGGAAAAUUUGGGUUCCAGAAUAUCAGCUGUUACAUGACCCCCAAGCUUCAACCUGGAACUUCUGGGCUCUCCUGCACCAAGUGGAGUGGAUAACAAUGGAGACCUAAGAACCAUAUACAACUGUGCCAUUCUACCAUCAGAGAACUGAAGAACCUUUCAAGCCUGUUGAGCCAACUUUCAGCAAAGUGGCAUCUUCAUGGAGUCAACAAUGUCGAGGAACAAAGUGGAAAUCAGACAGAACUUGACCAGAGUGAUGGGACUGCAAAACGAAAUUUGCCUUCGGAAAACCUUGGUCAUUGCGUGUGCAUUACCUGCUAGACUAAGUUACUAAUUUAAAUGGUGAGGCCUCAAGAGGCCCAUGCAAUUGGGGUAGCCAAUCUAUAUCAAAAGAGAUGGUGUGUUACAGAAUGGGGAAGAAAACAGUAGCAAGUGGAUGAAAGUACCAUCUUCUGUUUUUCCCAUCAUGUAACCUAAAACUGUUCCAAUGAAAAAUUUUUUACUAUUAUGUUCUAAAGGAA